RNAcentral lists this long non-coding RNA (543 nucleotides) under Phoenix dactylifera (date palm). RNAcentral's name for it is "long non-coding RNA (PDAC_LNC008714)". The record is from RNAcentral. Lineage: Eukaryota; Viridiplantae; Streptophyta; Magnoliopsida; Arecales; Arecaceae.
GGCACACAUGAAUAACUUGUAUUCCACUUAUUUCAAAAAACAAAUAGAGUACAUGGAUAUUUAUAGGCAUCAUUAGAUGCUCUUGUAGCCUUCCUAAUUGAAUUGGUCAUUACACUAUUCAUAACCCCAAAUAAAUCUCAAAUAACUCCCUCUAAAUAAAUCCCUUAUAACUCCAUGUAACUCUCACAUGACUAAAAACCCAAAAGAUAUGUAACUCCCACAUGACUAAAAAUCCAAAAGACAUAUAACUCCUCACCAUACUAAUAUGCAAUUAUAGAAAAUCAAACUAUAAGUUACUAAUAUUAAAAAACAAGUUUAAUAACCAACAGAAACAUCAGCACCUUUUCUCAUCUGUGGGAACUAAGUUCUAAGUUUGAUGUAGUGAAAUGACCUCGAAAUGCAGCAGUUUGGAGGAGCCGUGCAGACAGCAGCCCAAUGCUUUGGUUAAACUCAGAAAAGGGGAAUAAAUCCUGUUCCCUCGCCAGCAGUUACUUUCACCAUGGCCAUGCCCGACAUAGACAUUGUAGAGGAACCAGGAGCAAN